RNAcentral lists this ribosomal RNA (501 nucleotides) under uncultured bacterium. Its description in RNAcentral is "partial 16S ribosomal RNA". It matches the Rfam family "Bacterial small subunit ribosomal RNA", at positions 29 to 523 of the family's 1533-position model. The record is from RNAcentral.
AUUGAACGCUGGCGGCAUGCCUUACACAUGCAAGUCGAACGGCAGCACGGGUGCUUGCACCUGGUGGCGAGUGGCGAACGGGUGAGUAAUACAUCGGAACGUACCUUAUCGUGGGGGAUAACGCAGCGAAAGCUGUGCUAAUACCGCAUACGCCCUGAGGGGGAAAGCGGGGGAUCGAAAGACCUCGCGCGAUUAGAGCGGCCGAUGCCUGAUUAGCUUGUUGGUGGGGUAAAAGCCCACCAAGGCGACGAUCAGUAGCUGGUCUGAGAGGACGAUCAGCCACACUGGGACUGAGACACGGCCCAGACGCCUACGGGAGGCAGCAGUGGGGAAUUGUGGACAAUGGGGGCAAACCUGAUCCAGCAAUGCCGCGUGAGUGAAGAAGGCCUUCGGGUUGUAAAGCUCUUUUGUCAGGGAAGAAACACCGGCUCUAACACAGUCCGGGAAUGACGGUACCUGAAGAAUAAGCACCGGCUAACUACGUGCCAGCCGCCGCCGUAA